AACGGAUAGAUGAUGCGGAAUGGCAGUGGAAUGAGCAAAAACUUGAUAAUCUGUUCGAUGAACAAACAAAGUAGGAGAUUUUAGCCGUCCCUAUUGAUCCCCGUGGAACAAAAGAUGAACUUGUUUGGGUGGGAACCAAAUUGGGAAACUAUUUUGUGAAAAAUGGGUAUAAUAUGCUCA
Long non-coding RNA from Rhodamnia argentea, 180 nucleotides. RefSeq lists it as uncharacterized. The transcript is spliced from 3 exons. The record is from RefSeq and is a predicted model, not a curated record. NCBI's taxonomy places the organism in Eukaryota, Viridiplantae, Streptophyta, Magnoliopsida, Myrtales, Myrtaceae.